GUCGAACGGCAGCAUAGAGAGCUUGCUCUCUGAUGGCGAGUGGCGAACGGGUGAGUAAUAUAUCGGAACGUGCCCAGUAAUGGGGAAUAACUAGCCGAAAGGUUAGCUAAUACCGCAUACGACCUACGGGUGAAAGCAGGGGAUCUUAGGACCUUGCGUUAUUGGAGCGGCCGAUAUCUGAUUAGCUUGUUGGUGGGGUAAAAGCCUACCAAGGCUACGAUCAGUAGCUGGUCUGAGAGGACGAUCAGCCACACUGGAACUGAGACACGGUCCAGACUCCUACGGGAGGCAGCAGUGGGGAAUUUUGGACAAUGGGGGAAACCCUGAUCCAGCCAUCCCGCGUGAGUGAAGAAGGCCUUCGGGUUGUAAAGCUCUUUCGAAAGUGAAGAAAACUUAUUUCGUAAUAUGUUAUAAGUAUGACGGUAACUUUAGAAGAAGCACCGGCUAACUACGUGCCAGCAGCCGCGGUAAUACGUAGGGUGCGAGCGUUAAUCGGAAUUACUGGGCGUAAAGCGUGCGCAGGCGGUUUUGUAAGUCAGAUGUGAAAUCCCCGAGCUUAACUUGGGAACUGCGUUUGAAACUACAAGACUAGAGUGUGUCAGAGGGGGGUAGAAUUCCACGUGUAGCAGUGAAAUGCGUAGAGAUGUGGAGGAAUACCAGUGGCGAAGGCAGCCCCCUGGGAUAACACUGACGCUCAUGCACGAAAACGUGGGGAGCGAACAGGAUUAGAUACCCUGGUAGA
This 742-nucleotide ribosomal RNA is filed under the name uncultured beta proteobacterium. RNAcentral's name for it is "bacterial SSU rRNA". It matches the Rfam family "Bacterial small subunit ribosomal RNA", at positions 61 to 794 of the family's 1533-position model. The record is from RNAcentral. Lineage: Bacteria; Pseudomonadati; Pseudomonadota; Betaproteobacteria.